AUUGAACGCUGGCGGCAGGCCUAACACAUGCAAGUCGAACGAGUGGCGGACGGGUGAGUAAUGUCGGGGAAACUGCCUGAUGGAGGGGGAUAACCACGGGAAACGGUAGCUAACACCACAAACCAUCAGGUGUGCCCAGAUGGGAUGAGCUAGUUGGUGGGGUAACGGCUCACCAAGGCGACGAUCCCUAGCUGGUCUGAGAGGAUGACCAGCCACACUGGAACUGAGACACGGUCCAGACUCCUACGGGAGGCAGCAGUGGGGAAUAUUGCACAAUGGGCGCAAGCCUGAUGCAGCCAUGCCGCGUGUAUGAAGAAGGCCUUCGGGUUGUAAAGUACUUUCAGCGGGGAGGCGUUACCCGCAGAAGAAGCACCGGCUAACUCCGUGCCAGCAGCCGCGGUAAUUC
This 406-nucleotide ribosomal RNA is filed under the name uncultured bacterium. Its description in RNAcentral is "partial 16S ribosomal RNA". It matches the Rfam family "Bacterial small subunit ribosomal RNA", at positions 29 to 526 of the family's 1533-position model. The record is from RNAcentral.